AACGCGGUGAAAUUGUUUGCGGCUGCUGGUCCUCACUGCGGGAGCUCCUUGGAUUCGGAGCACGCGGCUCGCGACCCGCGACCCCCGGUCGUCCCCUACCUCUCGCUACGUUCCGUGUUGCAGGAAAGAGAGGAAAGGAACAAGCAUUUAUUAAGCGCCUAAUACGUACCGGACACUGGCUAACAGUGCUAACAGAAUAUCAUCUCGUUUGAUCUUCACAAAAACCUCGUGAGUGAAAAGAGUUUUGGACUUGGAGAACUAGCUCUGCCACAUUGGGGUCUGAAGGAUCAGGUGACCCCAGACAGAAUCGAGCUCUUUGCUGUCCACCUGAAG
Long non-coding RNA from Vombatus ursinus (common wombat), 333 nucleotides. RefSeq lists it as uncharacterized. The transcript is spliced from 4 exons. NCBI's taxonomy places the organism in Eukaryota, Metazoa, Chordata, Mammalia, Diprotodontia, Vombatidae. The record is from RefSeq and is a predicted model, not a curated record.